CCUACGGGAGGCAGCAGUGAGGAAUAUUGGUCAAUGGGCGGAAGCCUGAACCAGCCAAGUCGCGUGAGGGAUGAAGGUUCUAUGGAUCGUAAACCUCUUUUAUAAGGGAAUAAAGUGCGGGACGUGUCCCGUUUUGUAUGUACCUUAUGAAUAAGGAUCGGCUAACUCCGUGCCAGCAGCCGCGGUAAUACGGAGGAUACGAGCGUUAUCCGGAUUUAUUGGGUUUAAAGGGUGCGUAGGCGGAAUGCCAAGUCAGCGGUAAAAUCGCGGGGCUCAACCUCGCUCCGCCGUUGAAACUGGCGUUCUUGAGUGGGCGAGAAGUAUGCGGAAUGCGUGGUGUAGCGGUGAAAUGCAUAGAUAUCACACAGAACACCGAUUGCGAAGGCAUCUCACGAAUCCGCGAUUGACGCUGAUGCACGAAAGCGUGGGUAUCAAACAGGAUUAGAUACCCUUGUAGUC
Molecule: ribosomal RNA, 459 nt
Filed under: uncultured bacterium
Lineage: Bacteria
Description: partial 16S ribosomal RNA
Rfam family: Bacterial small subunit ribosomal RNA
Source: RNAcentral